This is an RNA transcript of Lepus europaeus (European hare), 3404 nucleotides long. It is a transcript of the gene named solute carrier family 26 member 6, with no coding region annotated. The record is from RefSeq and is a predicted model, not a curated record. NCBI's taxonomy places the organism in Eukaryota, Metazoa, Chordata, Mammalia, Lagomorpha, Leporidae. The transcript has 22 exons.
GGCAUAAGAAGCCCCACGAAACCUGGAUCCAUCACUGAAGAUUUACUGAGGUUCCUGGCCGCACCCCGAGGCCUCGCAGCCAUUCAGGGAUUUCUGCUCCUUCCACAUCGACCCUUUGUAAAGCCAGGACUCAGGAUCAGCUCCAUCCCGCUCGGGAGCCUUGGAGGCGCGGCUUCCCGGUUCACGUUUUACAGUCCCACCUGCUGGGGGCCGAGGAUUAAGUAAACCCGCCAGAAGGGCACAGUCCAGGCGGCGGGAGAGGAAGGGGUUAAACCUUCCCUCUGGGGGCUCGCCCCGCCCACAGCGCGUCACUUAGGCCACGCCCCUACACGCUGAUUGGUCCCAGCCUUCCCCAAGCCUCCUGCGCGCCGCCGGCCGGGUCGACGCAGCCUUCCAGCGCUUAGCGGCCUCUCCUUGAAGAUGUCGGAGCAGUGGCCGCCGGACCCCGUGCGGGCCGUGAGGCUCUCGGAUGCGGCGGGACCGAGGGACACACAGGCACUGCUGUCUGCAACACAGGCCAUGGAGCUGCAGAGGCGAGACUACCACGUGGAGCGGCCGCUGCUGAACCAGCAGCAGCUGGAGGAGCUGGGGCACUGGGGCCCAGCGCCAAGGACCCACCAGUGGCGAACCUGGUUGCAAUGCUCCCGUGCUCGGGCCUAUGCCCUCCUGCUCCGGCACUUCCCCAUCCUGGCCUGGCUACCUCGCUAUCCUGUGCGUGACUGGCUCCUGGGUGACGUGUUGUCUGGCCUGAGCGUGGCCAUCAUGCAGCUCCCACAAGGCUUGGCCUAUGCCCUCCUGGCUGGAUUGCCUCCUGUGUUCGGCCUCUACAGCUCCUUCUACCCUGUCUUCGUCUACUUCCUGUUUGGCACUUCCCGGCACAUCUCCGUGGGGACCUUUGCUAUCAUGUCUGUGAUGGUGGGCAGUGUGACAGAAUCCCUGGCCCCGGAUGAGGACUUCAUGGACAUCACAAACUCCACAGUCAACGAGUCUGCCAGGGACACCUACCGGGUGCAGCUGGCCUCCACGCUCAGUGUCCUGGUCGGCCUCUUCCAGGUAGGGCUGGGCCUGGUGCGCUUCGGCUUCGUGGUCACCUACCUGUCAGAGCCUCUGGUGCGCAGCUACACCACGGCUGCGUCCGUGCAAGUCUUCAUCUCACAGCUCAAGUACGUGUUUGGCCUGCAGCUGAGCAGCCGCUCUGGGCCACUCUCCCUCAUCUAUACAGUGCUGGAGGUCUGCUGGAAGCUGCCCCAGACCGUGGUCGGCACCCUGGUCACCGCGCUCGUGGCAGGGGUGGUGCUCGUGGCCGUGAAGCUGCUCAGUGAGAAGCUGCGACGCUACCUCCCGCUGCCCAUACCCGGGGAGCUGCUCACGCUCAUCGGGGCCACGGCCAUCUCCUAUGGUGUGGGCCUACAGCGGCGGUUCGGGGUGGAUGUUGUGGGCAACAUCCCAGCGGGGCUGGUCCCUCCGAUGGCCCCCAACUCACUGCUCUUUGCAAAGCUUGUGGGAAAUGCCUUUGCCAUCGCUGUGGUGGGAUUCGCCAUCGCCAUCUCGCUAGGGAAGAUCUUCGCCCUGAGGCACGGCUACCGUGUGGACAGCAACCAGGAGCUGGUGGCCCUGGGCCUCAGUAACCUCAUCGGGGGCAUCUUCCGGUGCUUCCCCGUGAGUUGCUCCAUGUCUCGCAGCCUGGUGCAGGAGACCACUGGGGGCAACACGCAGAUCGCUGGAGCCAUCUCUUCCCUCGUCCUCCUCCUCAUUAUUCUCAAACUCGGGGAGCUCUUCCGAGACCUGCCCAAGGCAGUCCUGGCCGCUGUCAUCAUCGUGAACUUGAAGGGCAUGCUGAUGCAGUUCAAGGACAUCCCCUCCCUCUGGAAGGCAAACCAGAUGGAUCUGCUCAUCUGGCUGGUGACCUUCGUGGCCACCAUCCUGCUGAACCUGGACCUCGGCCUGGCUGUUGCCAUAGUCUUCUCGCUGCUGCUCACGGUGGUCCGAACGCAGCUGCCCCGCUACUCUGUCCUGGGCCGGGUGACAGACACGGAUAUUUACCGAGACCUGGCCGAGUACGCAGAGGCCAGGGAGGUCCCCGGUGUGAAGGUCUUCCGCUCCUCAGCCACGCUGUUCUUUGCCAAUGCUGAGUUCUACAGUGACGCACUCAAACAGCGGUGCGGGGUGGACGUCGACUACCUCCUGUCCCGGAAGAAGAAGCUGAUGAAGAAGCGGGAGCUCCAGCAGAAGCGGCUGAAGAAAAACAAGCGGCCCCGGACCCAGGCUGCUCCGUCCAAGGACACCUCUGUUUCCGUCAAUGUCAACGCCAGCCCGGAAGACAUCAAGAGCAAUGAUGUGGACGACUCCAAGGCCAAGGUAAACCCAGGAGCUGAACUGGAGGACGCAGUGGCCAGCAACCAAGAAGACGCCAAGGCCUCAGACGGGUCCACGCUGAAGGCCCUGGGCCUGCCCCAGCCAGACUUCCACAGUCUUGUCUUGGACCUGAGUACCCUCUCCUUCGUGGACACUGUGUGCAUCAAGAGCCUGAAAAAUAUCUUCCGUGACUUCCGGGAGAUCGAGGUGGAGGUGUACAUCGCAGCCUGUCACAGCCCUGUCGUCGCCCAGCUGGAGGCCGGGCACUUCUUUGAUGGAUCCAUCACCAAGCAGCAUCUCUUUGUCUCUGUCCACGACGCCGUCACCUUUGCCCUCCAGCACCCGAGGUCUGGUCCCAGCAGCCCUGUUUUGGCCACCAAACUCUGACCAUGCUGCCACCCUGCCUGAGACUGCCUACCUCCAGAGGCUGUAACAGGGCAGAGUGACAGAGACAGACAGAGGUCUUCCAUCUGCUGGUUCACUCCCCAGGAGCCUGGAACUCCAUCCUGGUCUCCCAAGUCGGUGGCAGGGAUCCAAGGACUCGGGCCGUCCCCUGCCUCCUUCCCAGGUGCAUUAGCAGGGAGCUGGAUCAGAAAAGGCCAGGACAUGAACCUGCAACCUACGCUCCGGCGACAUAGGAUGUGGGUGUGUUCUGCAGUGGCUUAACCCCAUGCCAUGCCUCCAGCUCUCACUGGGACUGUGGGAGGAGCCACUCUCGGAGGGAGGGAGGGGGGAGGGCUGUGAGGCCGAGGCCACGUGGAGGGGUCCCGUGAGCAGCACUGGCUUGGUGUGGGUGGAGCAGCAGGCUCUAGGGGCUGUGGGGUGGUAGAAGUUAGGGGUGGAGGACAAGAGGGUGUCCCUUCCCCCUUGGCCUGCCAGGCCAGCCAGGGGAGUAGGCCUCAGCCGACUUAUCCUCCUCCAGCCCCCUACCCACCCAGCUACCUUGUGCUGGAACUGCUGGCUCAGCCAGGCUGCCUUCUCCUGGGGGAGGGGCGUUUGCCUGUUGCCAGGCGCCCAGGUUCCGGUCACUGGGCACUGGCCGCAGCCAU